CCCUUAGAUGUCCUGGGCCGCACGCGCGCUACACUGAGUGUCUGAGAUACGAGUCUGCCUGGUCCGGCAAGGUCUAGGUAAUCGCUAAAAGACACAUCAUGCUUGGGAUAGAUUAUUGCAAAUAUUAAUCUUGAACGAGGAAUUCCUAGUAAGCGCAAGUCAACAGCUUGCGUUGAUUACGUCCCUGCCCUUUGUACACACCGCCCGUCGCUCCUACCGAUUGAGUGGUCCGGUGAGGCUUUGGGAUCUGAGCGGAAAGAGCGUUUCGCUGUUUCUGCUCGGAAAACUCAGUCGAACCUUAUCAUUUAGAGGAAGGAGAAGUCGUAACA
RNAcentral lists this ribosomal RNA (329 nucleotides) under uncultured eukaryote. RNAcentral describes it as "partial 18S ribosomal RNA". It matches the Rfam family "Eukaryotic small subunit ribosomal RNA", at positions 1470 to 1796 of the family's 1831-position model. The record is from RNAcentral.